This 366-nucleotide small RNA is filed under the name Drosophila mojavensis. Its description in RNAcentral is "GI25925". The record is from RNAcentral. Lineage: Eukaryota; Metazoa; Arthropoda; Insecta; Diptera; Drosophilidae.
GUGCGCUUAUAUGCUUGUAGGUCUGCCAAUUAGUCGAUAUAUUUAUGCGAUGAUUGUUAUUGUUUAACUUUUUCUUUUCACAUUUAAUCGAUAUUUGAGACAUUCAUCGUUUAUUUUCACCCUUUUUCCGAUUUAUUAUAUUUAUAGUCGUGUAGGGCAGAAUAAUCGAACAAUUUGCUUUCGUUUACGUUAAUUGUUAUAAUUUAAUUCUCGGUGUCUGCUGGCCAUAUUCCAUUGUUUAUAAGUUUUACUAAGGAUUGUGCAAGUAGAGGAGUCGAUUAAGCGUGCCAGGGAAGGCGUUUUGUUUAUUUGCGUGUCCAAUAUGAGGGUAUGGAAUGCCGUUUAAAUACAGAAAUGAUGACAAUC